AUGGGUAGCACUGUUGUCAGGUUUCUAAGCAUUGCAACCUUAUUUACCAUUUGCUUAUUAUUAUGCAAUGCAAAUCUGAGUGCGCCUUGCAAACAAAAUGAGAGACAAGCACUUUCGAAGUUUAAGCCCGAUCUUGAAGAUCCUUUAAUUCAGCUUUCAUCUUGGGCUGGUGAAGGAGAUUGUUGCACUUGGACGGGAGUUGUCUGCGACAAUUUAACCGGUCAUGUCCGCGAGCUCCACCUUGCUGAGAUGUAUUUAACCGGUACGAUAAAUCCAUUUCUACUCAAUUUAACGCAUCUGAGCUACUUGGAUCUAAGCAACAAUGAUUUUCGAGGAAUGCAGAUUCCUAGCUUCUUAGGUUCUCUCAAAAGUUUAAGAUAUCUUGACCUCUCAAACUUGAUGUUCGUCGGAUUAAUUCCUCAUCAAUUGGGAAAUCUAACGAGUCUACAGGUUCUUGAUCUGGGGAUUGACACCCGUUUGGAACCGGAGAUUAACACACGUUUGGAGGUUGAGAGCCUUCAAUGGAUUUCUGCUCUCUUCCAUAAGUGACACUUGGACAUGAGUGGUGCAAAUCUUAGCAAAGCAUCUGAUUGGUUGCCGGUGACAAACACACUCCCGUCUUUGGUAGAGUACUUGGAUAUGUCUGAUUGUGGACUUUAUCACAUACCUGGUGGUAUUGCCAACAUGACUAAUCUUAAAUUCCUUAAUAUCCAGGACAACUCUAUCAGUUCUUCUAUACCUAAAUGGUUGUACAGGCUUAGCCAUCUUCAGUCCCUAAUUUUUUCCUACAAUUUUUUUCAUGGUGAGAUCUCGUCUUCCCUUGGAAACCUCACAUCCAUUGUCAAUCUUGACUUAAAUUCUAAUCAAGUUGAAGGGAAUAUCCCAAACUCCUUGGGAAAUCUUUGUAAGUUGACUACUCUUGAUAUGUCGAGGAACAAUCUCAAUGGAAGCGUGUCAGAAAUUUUUGUAAGUUUUUCUAGGUGUAGUUCAGGUCAAAUAGAGUCAUUGAGUCUGUUUGGGAACAAUCUUUCUGGCCAAUUAACAGAUAAGCUUGAUAAUUUUGAAAAGUUGCGCGUCCUUGAUCUUGCUAAUAACUCAAUAUCAGGUCCCCUUCCACCGUCCUUUGGCAAUCUGUCAUCCUAGAAGUUUUGAUAAUUGGUGAUAAUAAUUUAACAGGUGUUGUCUCUCAACAACAUUUCACUAAUCUGACAAGAUUGGUGCAAUUUGAAGCAAGUGGAAAUUCAUUGACUAUUGAAACUACUCCACACUGGCUUCCUCCAUUUCAACUUUUUAUUUUGGUUUUAAAUUCUUGGCAUCUGGAGCUAUCGGAAUUGCCCAUGUGGCUUCAGAGUCAAACACAGUUGGAGAUUCUUAGCAUGCCCAACACAAGAAUUUCAGGUACCAUUCCUACUUGGUUUUGGAACUUUUCUUCCCAAUUAGGCAAUAUUGAUCUCUCUCAAAAUAAAUUGUAUGGUGAGGUUCCACCUAUAUUUCCCAGUUCGCGGAAUCAGGAAAUUUUCCUAGGUUCUAACCAGUUCAAUGGUUCAUUACCUCUUGUUUCAUCAACAGUAGAAAUACUAGAUCUUUCCAACUCAUCGUUUUCUGGAACGCUCUUUCACUUUUUCUGUAAUAAUAAUAGCGAACCAAAGGCAUUUGAAAUUCUUCAUCUGGAACAAUCUUCUAUCUGGAAAAAUUCCUGACUGUUUCAGAAACUGGGCAACCUUGGUAGUUGUAAAUUUAGAAAGCAACAAUUUAAUUGGGAAUAUUCCAAGGUCUUUGGGCUACUUACUCUUCCUCCAAUACUUGCACUUGCGCAAUAAUCACUUGCAUGGGGAGUUGCCUCCAUAUCUAAAGAAAUGUACAGAUUUGACUAUUCUUGACCUUAGUUACAAUAAGUUUCUAGGAAAGAUACCAAUGUGGAUUGGAAAAAGCCUUUCAAAUUUGGCGGUUCUUAGCCUUCGUUCAAAUAAGCUUCAUGGCCACAUUCCGUACAAACUAUGCAGUCUUGCAAAUCUCCAAAUCUUGGACCUCGCACAUAACAAUCUCUCAGGAAGAAUGCCAAGGUGUUUGUACAAUUUUACAGCAAUGACCACCCGUUUAUACUUUAAUCAUCCAUUUUAUAUUGUGGGCCGAAUAGAGAAUGCAAACGUGGUGACAAAAGGCAGAGAAGUGAAAUAUGGAAACAUUCUUCUUAGCUUGGCAAUUAGUUUGGACCUUUCAGAGAACAUUAUCUCUGGAGAAAUCCCUGAAGAACUUACCAGCCUCAUCUACUUGCAGUCGGUGAAUUUGUCUUAUAAUCUUUUGAGUGGAAGAAUCCCUCCCAAGAUUGGUGAUAUGAGAAGGUUAGAAUCUCUUGAUUUGUCCAUGAAUCAACUUUGUGGUCAAAUUGCUCCAAGUAUGUCAAGUUUGACAUUUCUCAGUGCCUUGAACUUGUCCUACAAUAAUUUGACAGGCGAGAUUCCGGAAAGCACUCAACUUCAGAGUUUGGAUCAAUCCAGUUUUAUUGGUAAUAAACUUUGUGGCCCUCCACUUGAAGUGAACUGCAGUAAUACCAAUGGGACAGUACCACCGGUAGCCGAUCAGAAACACGGAGGAAGUUAUUUGCUUGAAGACAGUUGGUUCUUUCUGAGCUUGGGACUAGGAUUUCUGUUCGGUUUUUGGAGUGUUCUUGGCUCGUUGUUGUUGAACUUGCCAUGGAGCAUUGUCUUUUCUCGGUUCCUAAAUAGCAUUGUGAAGAAGCUUUUAUGGGGUAAUUGUUGAACAUUUUUAACUAUUUCUGCUGGUAGAUUGACCUUGGUUUGUUCUUUUAGAUGUUAUCGUUUCCAAAAGUUUAAGAGAUGCUUUA
Molecule: RNA transcript, 2845 nt
Organism: Prunus persica (peach)
Lineage: Eukaryota; Viridiplantae; Streptophyta; Magnoliopsida; Rosales; Rosaceae
Gene name: LRR receptor-like serine/threonine-protein kinase FLS2
Exons: 3
Source: RefSeq, a predicted model, not a curated record